GGGGCAUAUGCGUAUUGCUCCUCAGAUUUAAAACUAAAAAACUAUAGUAAUACCGCUGUUUCGAACGGCUGCCAUGCCGCUUUAAUUCGGAGUUACGUUUGUUCGUGUGGUUGUCGCAAUUUGGACAGAAGUCAUGUCGUAUGUCGUCUUAUUCUCUCGGAAUUUAUCCUAACAGGACCUCAAUAUUAGGCGUCAAACUAUAUGAACGUUUAAUUGAUAGCGUGAAACGAUCUUGCAUUCAUGUUUAUUAUAUGCAUGUGCAAAUGCAACUUCCGACAAUUAUGGGUAUAAAAUACGAACACUUCGAUCACUUUUCCAGCAAUAGUGACGCCAUCUUGGAUGGUGAGGCAUCGGGGUCUAACCCAUAGAGAUUAUAAAUAACACUAGAGGGGGCAUUGAACGCGGCUAAGGGGGGGGGGGCAAAAAAUUAAAAUGCUAACAUCAGAGCGAGUUUGAGCCAAAAUCUCUAAAUUCUUGUUUAUGGCAGUUAAGUAGUCCCGUUUUGAUUUUUACCAAGCAUUUUUACCUCAAUAUUGUCUAUAACACAUUUUUGAGAGCGCUCCAAAUUAAUGCUGAUGUCAUCAAUUUUGAUCUUUUCAAGAGGAAUUAAUCGUUUGAAUUCAAAAUUUG
Molecule: non-coding RNA, 630 nt
Organism: Paramuricea clavata
Lineage: Eukaryota; Metazoa; Cnidaria; Anthozoa; Malacalcyonacea; Plexauridae
Source: the annotation of a GenBank genome assembly